This 182-nucleotide non-coding RNA is filed under the name Kiloniella litopenaei. RNAcentral's name for it is "FMN riboswitch aptamer (RFN element)". It matches the Rfam family "FMN riboswitch aptamer (RFN element)". Rfam says of the family: The RFN element is a highly conserved domain that is found frequently in the 5'-untranslated regions of prokaryotic mRNAs that encode for flavin mononucleotide (FMN) biosynthesis and transport proteins. The record is from Rfam by way of RNAcentral. Lineage: Bacteria; Pseudomonadati; Pseudomonadota; Alphaproteobacteria; Rhodospirillales; Kiloniellaceae. RNAcentral also lists the same sequence under 1 other name.
GCUUGUUCUCAGGGCAGGGUGAAAUUCCCGACCGGCGGUAACUUUUAGAUACAGUAUGUAGAAAAAAGAAGCCCGCGAGCGCCCUUGGCUUCAGGAUCAUUUCGGAUCCAGAAAUCAAGGGGUCAGCAGAUCUGGUGAAAUUCCAGAGCCGACGGUAACAGUCCGGAUGGGAGAGGAUAGGC